GUGCCAGCCGCCGCGGUAAUACGUAGGGUGCGAGCGUUGUCCGGAAUUACUGGGCGUAAAGAGCUCGUAGGUGGUUUGUCGCGUUGUUCGUGAAAUCUCACGGCUUAACUGUGAGCGUGCGGGCGAUACAGGCAGACUAGAGUACUGCAGGGGGGACUGGAAUUCCUGGUGUAGCGGUGGAAUGCGCAGAUAUCAGGAGGAACACCGGUGGCGAAGGCGGGUCUCUGGGCAGUAACUGACGCUGAGGAGCGAAAGCGUGGGGAGCGAACAGGAUUAGAUACCCUGGUAGUCCACGCCGUAAACGGUGGGUACUAGGUGUGGGUUUCCUUCCUUGGGAUCCGUGCCGUAGCUAACGCAUUAAGUACCCCGCCUGGGGAGUACGGCCGCAAGGCUAAAACUCAAAGGAAUUGACGGGGGCCCGCACAAGCGGCGGAGCAUGUGGGAUUAAUUCGAUGCAACGCGAAGAACCUUACCUGGGUUUGACAUGCACAGGACGCGUCUAGAGAUAGGCGUUCCCUUGUGGCCUGUGUGCAGGUGGUGCAUGGCUGUCGUCAGCUCGUGUCGUGAGAUGUUGGGUUAAGUCCCGCAACGAGCGCAACCCUUGUCUCAUGUUGCCAGCGGGUAAUGCCGGGGACUCGUGAGAGACUGCCGGGGUCAACUCGGAGGAAGGUGGGGAUGACGUCAAGUCAUCAUGCCCCUUAUGUCCAGGGCUUCACACAUGCUACAAUGGCCGGUACAAAGGGCUGCGAUGCCGUAAGGUUAAGCGAAUCCUUUUAAAGCCGGUCUCAGUUCGGAUUGGGGUCUGCAACUCGACCCCAUGAAGUCGGAGUCGCUAGUAAUCGCAGAUCAGCAACGCUGCGGUGAAUACGUUCCCGGGCCUUGUACACACGCCCGUC
Molecule: ribosomal RNA, 896 nt
Filed under: uncultured organism
Description: SSU rRNA
Rfam family: Bacterial small subunit ribosomal RNA
Source: RNAcentral